GUGACUGCGUACCUUUUGUAUAAUGGGUCAGCGACUUAUAUUCUGUAGCAAGGUUAACCGUAUAGGGGAGCCGGAGGGAAACCGAGUCUUAAUUGGGCGUUAAGUUGCAGGGUAUAGACCCGAAACCCGGUGAUCUAGCCAUGGGCAGGUUGAAGGUUGGGUAACACUAACUGGAGGACCGAACCGACUAAUGUUGAAAAAUUAGCGGAUGACCUGUGGCUGGGGGUGAAAGGCCAAUCAAACCGGGAGAUAGCUGGUUCUCCCCGAAAGCUAUUUAGGUAGCGCCUCGUGAAUUCAUCUCCGGGGGUAGAGCACUGUUUCGGCUAGGGGGCCAUCCCGGCUUACCAACCCGAUGCAAACUGCGAAUACCGGAGAAUGUUAUCACGGGAGACACACGGCGGGUGCUAACGUCCGUCGUGAAGAGGGAAACAACCCAGACCGCCAGCUAAGGUCCCAAAGUCAUGGUUAAGUGGGAAACGAUGUGGGAAGGCCCAGACAGCCAGGAUGUUGGCUUAGAAGCAGCCAUCAUUUAAAGAAAGCGUAAUAGCUCACUGGUCGAGUCGGCCUGCGCGGAAGAUGUAACGGGGCUAAACCAUGCACCGAAGCUGCGGCAGCGA
Molecule: ribosomal RNA, 617 nt
Filed under: Salmonella enterica subsp. enterica serovar Thompson
Lineage: Bacteria; Pseudomonadati; Pseudomonadota; Gammaproteobacteria; Enterobacterales; Enterobacteriaceae
Also listed under: 41 other names
Description: bacterial LSU rRNA
Rfam family: Bacterial large subunit ribosomal RNA
Source: RNAcentral